GAAAGUUUACAAAAGGAGAAUGCGGAACUGAAACAAGAAAAUGAUCAACUUGUAGAACUGAAACAAGUUCAUGAUCAAUUUUUAAAGAAAUUUAGUCCUGG
Molecule: long non-coding RNA, 101 nt
Organism: Acipenser ruthenus (sterlet)
Lineage: Eukaryota; Metazoa; Chordata; Actinopteri; Acipenseriformes; Acipenseridae
Exons: 3
Source: RefSeq, a predicted model, not a curated record